Malania oleifera is the source of this 648-nucleotide long non-coding RNA. RefSeq lists it as uncharacterized. The transcript has 3 exons. NCBI's taxonomy places the organism in Eukaryota, Viridiplantae, Streptophyta, Magnoliopsida, Santalales, Ximeniaceae. The record is from RefSeq and is a predicted model, not a curated record.
AGGUCUGCGUCGGGUUUGUGAUUAUGAUGAUUCGACAGCGGGGGUUUGGUCGUGGAUUUGAUAGCGCUAUUGUUGCAAAUGUCAAUGGGUUUUGGUAGUGUGAGGGCUUUCUACAAUGAUGAAGGGAUGCAUUCUUGUGCGGGGUCGAAGUUCUCAUGUGUUGGGUUGCGAUUAGGGUUAAUGGGACAGUUAAGUGAUUUCAGUGAUAUGAAAUGGGUGGGAAAUGAUUCCAUUAGGGAUUUGAAUGAUAUGGUUUUUGUAGGUUUUGGAGAUCUAUGCCAUCAGGUUCAGUGGUGGUGAGGGAUAAGGAAACGAAGAUGUAGGCAUAAGGCCUCAAUUGGGGUUGGAGGCUGUGGAUUCAGACACAGAGGCUAAAAUUCUCAUUCUCAGUGAAAGGGAAUGGCAGUGAUGGAGGUUGGCUAUGGUGAUGGGCAACGAAACAUAUUUACAAUACAGCACACACAUGAGUGUGGAUUCAUGGAAGCCUGAGGAACUUAAAGAUCAUACUCCUGACAUAUUUAAUGGGAAAAUGAAGAGCAAAAGAAGAAGAUUUGUUUGUGUUUCAUUUGUAAAUGCAUUUAUUAUAUUUGAGUUUGUAAUAAUUUAUAUCGAUCUGUAAUAAUUAAUGCAUGACAUGCAUGGUAGGAA